RNAcentral lists this ribosomal RNA (396 nucleotides) under uncultured bacterium. RNAcentral describes it as "partial 16S ribosomal RNA". It matches the Rfam family "Bacterial small subunit ribosomal RNA", at positions 523 to 917 of the family's 1533-position model. The record is from RNAcentral.
AUACGUAGGGGGCGAGCGUUGUCCGGAAUUACUGGGCGUAAAGGGUGCGUAGGUGGCACUUUAAGUUGGAUGUGAAAUCCCCGUGCUUAACAUGGGAGCUGCAUCCAAUACUGGAGAGCUAGAGUGCAGGAGAGGUAAGCGGAAUUCCUAGUGUAGCGGUGAAAUGCGUAGAUAUUAGGAGGAACACCAGUGGCGAAGGCGGCUUACUGGACUGUAACUGACACUGAGGUACGAAAGCGUGGGGAGCAAACAGGAUUAGAUACCCUGGUAGUCCACGCUGUAAACGGUGAAUACUAGGUGUAGGAGGUAUCAACUCCCUCUGUGCCGCAGCAAACGCAAUAAGUAUUCCGCCUGGGGAGUACGGCCGCAAGGUUGAAACUUAAAGGAAGUGACGGG